RNAcentral lists this transfer RNA (77 nucleotides) under compost metagenome. RNAcentral describes it as "tRNA-Glu". It matches the Rfam family "tRNA". Rfam says of the family: Transfer RNA (tRNA) molecules are approximately 80 nucleotides in length. Their secondary structure includes four short double-helical elements and three loops (D, anti-codon, and T loops). Further hydrogen bonds mediate the characteristic L-shaped molecular structure. tRNAs have two regions of fundamental functional importance: the anti-codon, which is responsible for specific mRNA codon recognition, and the 3' end, to which the tRNAs corresponding amino acid is attached (by aminoacyl-tRNA synthetases). tRNAs cope with the degeneracy of the genetic code in two manners: having more than one tRNA (with a specific anti-codon) for a particular amino acid; and 'wobble' base-pairing, i.e. permitting non-standard base-pairing at the 3rd anti-codon position. The record is from RNAcentral.
GCUCUUAUCGUCUACACGGUAUAGGACGCCAGACUUUCAAUCUGGAAAAGCGGGUUCGAUUCCCGCUAAGAGCACCA